AUGUAAGUCUGUAUUGCAAUUCAAUUUAAUUUUUCUUUAUGAUAGAGGUAAGGGUCAAGGGUAAUAUUUUUCACAUGGAUAUAAAUUUUUUAGCAUCACUUUUUGAAAAACCUAUCAAUUCUUUGAAUUGCCAUGAUCUAUAUAUGUUGAGACCUAUUUAUAUAUUCUUAGGUCUUUCAUUUCAUUGAUCUGUCUAUAUUUUUAUGCCACUGUUUGGUUACUGUAGCUUUAUGGUACAUGUGCUAAGCAAGGUCCAUUUACGAGGCAGAAUCCAUACAGUAAAUUGAAGAAUGAAAUUUUAGUAUAAAGAAUUAGCUCUUGAGUCACCCCUGUGCAGCCUUGGUGCCGUGUGCAUUUUGGACACUCAGCCCACCUUGCUCUCUAGUACUUGUAAGCCUUUUCCUUUCAAGAUGCCUGCAGAGGUGUACCAUGGAGAAGGGGAGGUGGCGACUUUUGCCUUUUAGGCAGAAAUUGCCCAACUCAUGUCUCUCAUAAUCAAUACCUUCUAUUCCAACAAGGAGAUUUUCCUUCAGGAGUUGAUCUCUAAUGCUUCUGAUGCCUUAGACAAGAUUCGCUAUGAGAGCCUGACAGACCCUUCCAAGUUGGACGGUGGUAAAGAACUGAAAAUUGACAUCAUCCCCAACCCUCGGGAAUGCAUCCUGACUUUGGUCAACACAGGCAUUGGCAUGACCAAGGCUGAUCUCAUAAAUAAUUUGGGAGCCAUUGCCAAGUCUGGUACUGAAGCAUUUAUGGAGGCUUUUCAGUCUUGUGCAGAAAUCUCCAUGAUUGGGCAAUUUGGUGUUGGCUUUUAUUCUGCCUACCUGGUGGCAGAGAAAGUAGCCAUCACAAAGCACAAUGACGAAGAACAGUAUUCCUGGGUAUCUUCUGCUGGGAGUUCCUUCACUUUACAUGUUGACCAUGGUGAGCCCAUUGACAGGGAUACCAAAGUGAUCCUUCACCUUAAAGAAGAUCAGACAGAGUACUUAGAAGAGAGGUGGGUCAAAGAAGUAGUGAAGAAGCACCCUCAGUUCAUAGGCUGUCUUAUCGCCGUUUAUUUGGAGAAGGAACCAGAGAAGGAAAUCAGUGAUGAUGAGGAAGAGAAAGGUGAGAAAGAAGAGGAAGAUAAAGAUGAUAAAGAAAAGCCCAAGACUGAAGAUGUGGGUUCCGAUGAGGAGGAUGACACUGAUAAGAAUAAUAAGAAGAAAACAAAGAAGAUCAAGGAGAAAUACACUGAUCGGGAAGAACUAAACCAGACCAAGCCGAUUUGGACCAGAAACCCUGAUGACAUCACCCAGGAAGAGUGUGGAGAAUUCUACAAGAGCCUCACCAGUGCCUGGGAAGACCACUUGGCAGUCAAGCAAUUCCCUGUAGAAGGUCAUUUGGAAUUCAGGGCAUUGCUGUUCAUCCCUCAUCAGGCUCCCUUUGACCUUUUUUAGAACAAGAGGAAAAUGAACAACUCUGUGUCCAUCAUGUGUGGAUCAUGGACAGCUUUGAUGAUUUGAUGCCAGAGUAUGUCGGCUUUGUCCGUGGUAUGGUUGACUCUUAAGGAUCUUUCCCCAAACAUCUCCCGGGAAAUGCUCCAGCAGAGCAAAAUCUUGGAAGUCAUUUGCAAAAACAUUGUUAAGAAAUGCCGGCUGGGCAUGGUGGCUCACGCCUGUAAUCCUAGCACUUUGGGAGGCUGAGGCGGGCAGAUCACCUGAGGUCAGGAGUUCAAGACCAGCCUGGUCAACAUGGUGAAAGCCCGUCUCUACUAAAAAUACAAAAAUUAGCUGGGCACAACGCCUGUAAUCCCAGCUACUUGGGAGGCUGAGGCAGGAGAAUUGCUUGAACCUGGGAGGCGGAAGUUGCAGUGAGCCAAGAUCAUGCCACUGCACUAAGCCUGGGCGACAGAAGAAGGCUCUGUCUCAAAAAAAAAAAAAAAAAAAAAAAAAGAAGAAGAAGUGGCUUGAGCUUAGCUUCUCUGGGCUGGCAGAAGACAAGGAGAAUAACAAGAAAUUAGAUGAGGUAUUCUCUAAAAUCUCGUGGCUUGGAAUCCAUGAGGACUCUAUUAACUGGCGACACCUGUCUGAACUGCUGUGGUCUCACACCUUCCAGUCUGGAGAUGAGAUGACAUCUCUGUCAGAGUAUGUGUCUUGCAUGAAGGAGGCACAGAAGUCCAUCUGUGACAUCAUUGGUGAGUGCAAAGAGCAGGUAGCCAACUCUGCUUUUGUGGAGCAAGAGUGGAAGAAGGGCUUCGAGGUAAUAUAUAUGAGUGAGCCCAUUGAUGAGUACUGUGUGCAGCAGCUCAAGGAAUUUGAUGGGAAGAGCCUGCUGUCAGUUACCAAGGAGGGUCUGGAGCUACCUGAGGAUGAGGAGGAGAAGAAGAUAAUGGAGGAGAGCAACGUAAAGUUUGAGAACCUCUGCAGGCUCAUGAAAGAAAUCUUAGAUAAGAAGGUUGAGCGGGUGACAAUCUCCAGUAGGCUUGUGUCUUCACCCUGCCGCAUUGUGACCAGCACCUACAGCUAGAUAGCCAAUAUGAAGUGGAUCAUGAAAGCGCAGGCAUUUUGGGACAACUCUAUGAUGGGUUAUAUGAUGGCUAAAAAGCACCUGGAGAUCAACCCCAACCACCCCAUUGUGGAGACACUACAGCAGAAGGCUGAGGCAGACAAGAACAACGAGGCUGUCAGUGACCCGGUGGUGCUGCUGUUUGAAACCACACUGCUCUCUUCUGGCUUCUCCCUUGAGGAUCCUCAGACCUAUCCAGCUGCAUCUACCACAUGAUCAAGCUAGGUUAGCUAUUGAUGAAGAUGAAGUGGCAACAGAGGAACUCAGUGCUGCUGUUCCUGAUGUGAUGUGUUCCUGAGGAUGUGUUUCACAUGGAAGAAGUAGAUUAAGAGUUUAUACCUGCAAACCUUGUGCCCUUGCAUAGUGUCCCCAUGGCUCCCACUGCAGCUUUGAGUGGUCCUGUCCCACCUGGCUCUCUCUGCUGAUAUCUAGUAUUUUUUCUCUUCUGUCCUUGUGUCUAAGGCAGGAAACAAGGGCAUCAAGCCCCAUUCCCUCUCUACUUUGACAGCAGAAUUGGAUGUUGUAUAUCCUGUUUUUUUGUUGUUGUUUAUUUUGUUCUGAAAGUAUGUAAAAUAAAGAAUAUGCUGUUUU
This is an RNA transcript of Homo sapiens (human), 3135 nucleotides long. It is a transcript of the gene named heat shock protein 90 alpha family class B member 4, pseudogene, with no coding region annotated. Lineage: Eukaryota; Metazoa; Chordata; Mammalia; Primates; Hominidae. The record is from RefSeq and is marked validated. The transcript has a single exon.